GAUCCUGGCUCAGAGCGAACGUUAGCGGCGGGCCUAACACAUGCAAGUCGAGCGAGAAAGAGGGGCAACCCUUGAGUACAGCGGCGGACGGGUGAGCAAUACGUAGGUAACCUGCCUUUCAGUGGGGGACAACAGUUCGAAAGGACUGCUAAUACCGCAUCCGUCACCCGGGACUCUGGUCCUGGGUGGGGAAAGCCGGGGCAACCUGGCGCUGAAAGAGGGGCCUACGUCGCAUCAGCUAGUUGGUGGGGUAAUGGCCCACCAAGGCGAAGACGCGUAGCUGGUCUGAGAGGAUGAUCAGCCACACUGGGACUGAGACACGGCCCAGACUCCUACGGGAGGCAGCAGUGGGGAAUAUUGGACAAUGGGCGCAAGCCUGAUCCAGCCACGCCGCGUGAGUGAUGAAGGCCUUCGGGUCGUAAAGCUCUGUGGGGAGGGACGAACCGCCAGGUAUUAAUACCAUCUGGCAUGACGGUACCUCCUUAGCAAGCACCGGCUAACUUCGUGCCAGCAGCCGCGGUAA
Molecule: ribosomal RNA, 523 nt
Filed under: uncultured delta proteobacterium
Lineage: Bacteria; Deltaproteobacteria
Description: bacterial SSU rRNA
Rfam family: Bacterial small subunit ribosomal RNA
Source: RNAcentral